UAUGUUUGGUUGAAAAAAGGCAACCAUAUUGGAUAAAGAACCAUUAGUGAUAAAAGGCGAAUAGAGUGCGGUGGUGACGCUAUCCAUCCGCCAUCUUUGAAGAUCGGACGAACAACCUUCCACGCGGACGGAAUCGACGAGUAAAUUCCAUUCCAUCCCGUGACAAGACCUCUUAAAAGCAGUUACGACGUCCAAGACGAAUCCAUCGGAUGCAACCCAAGCAGGGACCGGUAAGCAAACCAUUGAUCACGAUAAGUACUCAUGCUGAAGAAACUACCUGGUAUUUCACAGCAACCACUACCGGAUUUCCCUCGCCAAAGUUCAUGCCAUUCGCGGAAAGCAUACACGUCGCGAGAGCUAAACGAACGACGGGUAAGACAAAAUUAAGUUGUCCUCGGCACAAUCCCUAAACGUAAAUCAUUUGCUCCACAGUCGUUUGAUUCAGCCAGCCUAGAAGUCGAUCACUUCGCAGAGAACCUCCACGUCCAAUCCUUCGGUUCAAAAACAAAGCCUUCCCUCGGAAGGCUUUGUUUCUCUAUUUACAGCUAAUCCACACACGGAUAGUGGCAUCGGACUUGUUCGAACCAGGUGCGACCGCGAGGUGGCUGCGAACUAUCGGUCGGGAGUUGAGUCAAGCCCGGAGAGGGCCGAACCACUGGUCCACCGAAAGACGCCUUCGACAGCCGCAGUAUACGACACUGAGUUGCAACCGCAAGUCUUGGUCAGACGUCGUGAAGGCAUAGUACACCAGCGAGCGAGCCACGGCUGCACUGCAGGGUAGUGUGGAAUCAUGUGCGGAAGGGUGACAUCCAUGAUGAUGGCGGCGGCCAGAACAGCGAUUACGGUAGGGGCGCCCCAAUAGUGAGUACAAGAUGGAAAAUUAGCACAUAAGUAGAAAUUCAAAAGAGAAAAGGAAGGCAGGCAAGCUAGAGUAGGAUGAGGCUUAGAAGGAGAUAAGAAAAUGUCCUUUGAAUAAAAUAUGUACACUUUA
Molecule: long non-coding RNA, 991 nt
Filed under: Aedes aegypti (yellow fever mosquito)
Lineage: Eukaryota; Metazoa; Arthropoda; Insecta; Diptera; Culicidae
Description: lncRNA AAEL027224
Source: RNAcentral